AGCGUACACGGUGGAUGCCCUGGCAGUCAGAGGCGAUGAAGGACGUGCUAAUCUGCGAAAAGCGCCGGCGAGGUGAUAUGAACCNCACACUAUCGUUAACUGAAUACAUAGGUUAACGAGGCGAACCGGGGGAACUGAAACAUCUAAGUACCCCGAGGAAAAGAAAUCAACCGAGAUUCCCCCAGUAGCGGCGAGCGAACGGGGAGCAGCCCGGAGUCUGAAUCAGCUUGUGUGUUAGUGGAACGGUCUGGAAAGUCCGACGGUACAGGGUGAUAGUCCCGUACACGAAAGCACACUUGCUGUGAACUCGAAGAGUAGGGCGGGACACGUGGUAUCCUGUCUGAAUAUGGGGGGACCAUCCUCCAAGGCUAAAUACUCCUGACUGACCGAUAGUGAACCAGUACCGUGAGGGAAAGGCGAAAAGAACCCCGGCGAGGGGAGUGAAAAAGAACCUGAAACCGUGUACGUACAAGCAGUGGGAGCACCUUCGUGGUGUGACUGCGUACCUUUUGUAUAAUGGGUCAGCGACUUAUAUUCUGUAGCAAGGUUAACCGUAUAGGGGAGCCGAAGGGAAACCGAGUCUUAACUGGGCGUUAAGUUGCAGGGUAUAGACCCGAAACCCGGUGAUCUAGCCAUGGGCAGGUUGAAGGUUGGGUAACACUAACUGGAGGACCGAACCGACUAAUGUUGAAAAAUUAGCGGAUGACCUGUGGCUGGGGGUGAAAGGCCAAUCAAACCGGGAGAUAGCUGGUUCUCCCCGAAAGCUAUUUAGGUAGCGCCUCGUGAACUCAUCUUCGGGGGUAGAGCACUGUUUCGGCUAGGGGGCCAUCCCGGCUUACCAACCCGAUGCAAACUACGAAUACCGAAGAAUGUUAUCACGGGAGACACACGGCGGGUGCUAACGUCCGUCGUGAAGAGGGAAACAACCCAGACCGCCAGCUAAGGUCCCAAAGUCAUGGUUAAGUGGGAAACGAUGUGGGAAGGCACAGACAGCCAGGAUGUUGGCUUAGAAGCAGCCAUCAUUUAAAGAAAGCGUAAUAGCUCACUGGUCGAGUCGGCCUGCGCGGAAGAUGUAACGGGGCUAAACCAUGCACCGAAGCUGCGGCAGCGACACUAUGUGUUGUUGGGUAGGGGAGCGUUCUGUAAGCCGUUGAAGGUGUGCUGUGAGGCAUGCUGGAGGUAUCAGAAGUGCGAAUGCUGACAUAAGUAACGAUAAAGCGGGUGAAAAGCCCGCUCGCCGGAAGACCAAGGGUUCCUGUCCAACGUUAAUCGGGGCAGGGUGAGUCGACCCCUAAGGCGAGGCCGAAAGGCGUAGUCGAUGGGAAACAGGUUAAUAUUCCUGUACUUGGUGUUACUGCGAAGGGGGGACGGAGAAGGCUAUGUCAGCCGGGCGACGGUUGUCCCGGUUUAAGCAUGUAGGCGGAGGUUCCAGGUAAAUCCGGUACCUUAUUAACGCUGAGGUGUGAUGACGAGGCACUACGGUGCUGAAGUGAUAAAUGCCCUGCUUCCAGGAAAAGCCUCUAAGCAUCAGGUAACACGAAAUCGUACCCCAAACCGACACAGGUGGUCAGGUAGAGAAUACCAAGGCGCUUGAGAGAACUCGGGUGAAGGAACUAGGCAAAAUGGUGCCGUAACUUCGGGAGAAGGCACGCUGAUGUGUAGGUGAAGUCCCUGCGGACGGAGCUGAAAUCAGUCGAAGAUACCAGCUGGCUGCAACUGUUUAUUAAAAACACAGCACUGUGCAAACACGAAAGUGGACGUAUACGGUGUGACGCCUGCCCGGUGCCGGAAGGUUAAUUGAUGGGGUUAGCUGUAAGGCGAAGCUCUUGAUCGAAGCCCCGGUAAACGGCGGCCGUAACUAUAACGGUCCUAAGGUAGCGAAAUUCCUUGUCGGGUAAGUUCCGACCUGCACGAAUGGCGUAAUGAUGGCCAGGCUGUCUCCACCCGAGACUCAGUGAAAUUGAACUCGCUGUGAAGAUGCAGUGUACCCGCGGCAAGACGGAAAGACCCCGUGAACCUUUACUAUAGCUUGACACUGAACACUGGUCCUUGAUGUGUAGGAUAGGUGGGAGGCUUUGAAGCGUGGACGCCAGUCUGCGUGGAGCCGCCCUUGAAAUACCACCCUUUAAUGGCUGGUGUUCUAACGUAGACCCGUAAUCCGGGUUGCGGACAGUGUCUGGUGGGUAGUUUGACUGGGGCGGUCUCCUCCCAAAGAGUAACGGAGGAGCACGAAGGUUGGCUAAUCCUGGUCGGACAUCAGGAGGUUAGUGCAAUGGCAUAAGCCAGCUUGACUGCGAGCGUGACGGCGCGAGCAGGUGCGAAAGCAGGUCAUAGUGAUCCGGUGGUUCUGAAUGGAAGGGCCAUCGCUCAACGGAUAAAAGGUACUCCGGGGAUAACAGGCUGAUACCGCCCAAGAGUUCAUAUCGACGGCGGUGUUUGGCACCUCGAUGUCGGCUCAUCACAUCCUGGGGCUGAAGUAGGUCCCAAGGGUAUGGCUGUUCGCCAUUUAAAGUGGUACGCGAGCUGGGUUUAGAACGUCGUGAGACAGUUCGGUCCCUAUCUGCCGUGGGCGCUGGAGAAUUGAGGGGGGCUGCUCCUAGUACGAGAGGACCGGAGUGGACGCAUCACUGGUGUUCGGGUUGUCAUGCCAAUGGCACUGCCCGGUAGCUAAAUGCGGAAGAGAUAAGUGCUGAAAGCAUCUAAGCACGAAACUUGCCCCGAGAUGAGUUCU
Molecule: ribosomal RNA, 2731 nt
Filed under: Enterobacter cloacae
Lineage: Bacteria; Pseudomonadati; Pseudomonadota; Gammaproteobacteria; Enterobacterales; Enterobacteriaceae
Description: bacterial LSU rRNA
Rfam family: Bacterial large subunit ribosomal RNA
Source: RNAcentral